UUCUUGUCUUCUCUUAGGAGAUUUGGAUACCUUCUCUGCCUAGGAUAAAGUCGGAGAGAAUGGUGACUCUGAAAAUCAUGCUGGUGACACAAUUCACCAUAAUUUUGAAUGGGUUCCGUCAAUUUUCUUCAAAAUGAUUGUGCUUUUUAGAGAACACAUGAUGUGACCACAUAAAUAUUGGUCGAAAUUAUUGCUUUUCUUUGCACAAGUCACGUGAUUUACAACCCAGAAAGAUUUUGUUUUCAGAUUUUAGAGUAGCUACAGUAUUGGAGACAUUCAAUUGAUAAUCAGAUUACAUCAACCCCUACCACAGUGAAUUAUCAUGUAAAUUUCAACCUAUCAUGCCCUUCUUGAUCAUAGCAAAGGAAGUUUGGGGAUCUCAACAAGGAACUUUUUUCCAUUAACAUGUAUGUCUUUGAGUUCUUUUACUUUUUAAAAUACUAAGUUUUCAAUUUCUGUUGUAAGUAGAAUGAGGUUACGCAAAAUACUAUAAAUCUUGAUUAUUAUUUGAUUUAUUGAAUAUCUAAUUUUACUUUUGUACUGCUUUUUGAAUAAUGUUGAGCUAAACAGCAUGUGCUUUUUCUAUUAAAGAAAUAUUGGUUGUUACAAGUUGAUUUUAUAUUGUUCUUUGACAAUCUAGAAUUUGUUUACUGGGAAAUGACAUUUUGAUAACUAGGUUGAUUUUGUGGUGGUGACAGAUGAUAGAAAAGGAACCAGAUGGACCCAGGAAAAUUUAGCUCUUGUUGAUAACAAUCUAAAUUCCUUGCCAUUAAAGUUCAAGUUUGAGGAUAGGAGCCUCUCCACUGGAGAAAUUAGUAUGGGAGAUAGACCUUGAAUCUCUUUUCUGUGAUUUGAAUAUGGGUCUCAUGGAAAGUGACCGUGGCUGCAUGAAUCCUUCAACAGUAAUUUC
RNAcentral lists this long non-coding RNA (910 nucleotides) under Olea europaea subsp. europaea. The record is from RNAcentral. Lineage: Eukaryota; Viridiplantae; Streptophyta; Magnoliopsida; Lamiales; Oleaceae.